This is a long non-coding RNA of Onychostoma macrolepis, 876 nucleotides long. RefSeq lists it as uncharacterized. Lineage: Eukaryota; Metazoa; Chordata; Actinopteri; Cypriniformes; Cyprinidae. The record is from RefSeq and is a predicted model, not a curated record. The transcript is spliced from 3 exons.
UGUAUAUCACCCAGUAUAAUACUGCAAAUUCCCUUUACAGUAAAUAACUGUAAUUCCCUUUGCAUCAUUGGAAUUUUCUGUGACGUCAGACCCCACAUACAGAGACUUACUGUAUUUUUUUUUUAAUUGCUGUAUACUACUGUAACGGUCUCUUUGGCGCCAUUAUACUGAGGUCGUUUUAUUUUCCUCAUUUCUUACAUUUGGACUGACACAAUUUGCCCUACACCGUGUCUACACCGCCGCAACAGCUUGAGACUGACUACUGGAUGUGUUACAUCGCUUCUAAUGAUUGGAAAAUCCGUUUGUACUUCGUGUCAGAAACAGCGCGAGGCUUGGAGUACAUCUGUACAUCAGAAAUAUACCGGGGCAUCACAUUACUGUCCGCAUCCACUGUAGAUAAUAUAUAUAAUGGGUUCUAUAUUGUUUUUUAUCGAGUCGCGCCUCGCCGCGCUACUCGCGUCCGAGGAAGACACGGAAGCAGCGGGCAGCGUCGCGGGUUUUUCCCGGGGAUGAACCCGCGAGAGUGGGAGAGCUCUGGAGAACAUCUGUGCUGUGUGUCGAUGCACCUUACGAGAGAAAAAGACCAGCAAGCAAGGCAACUGCAAUGAAGCAUCAAGAAAGACAUGGACAUGCCAGCCACCCUGAGGCUGAUAAUUCAUGAGAAGACAUUUCUGUCAAAGUGGAUGGUGAGCAAAGAUGGUGGCCACGUUUUGGAGCAGCACCUGGGUUUUGCAGAUGGCUAUGUAUUCUUUGGCUGCUUGUCUUUAUGUUUCUGUUGCCUAAAGAUUCUUUGUGAGGAUAAAUCACAACAAAAUGCACUGCAAAGCGUCCUAAGACAGGAGAAAUGGUGAAGAUGCACUGUUCCAGAGUUGGAAG